GCAUACAGCAUCUGCAGAUGCAAAGAACAUCAGGGUGUAGCAGAAGAACUAAAGGGGUCCUUCGGGGUGGCCCACUUCUUCCAGUGAACACAAGGUACUCCUCAUGACUGCAGCCACAGAAGUCCUACAAGCUUUUCUGUGAUACUAUGAUCUGGCAGGAAAUGUCUUCAUAAGAGAAGAGUCAGAAAAAGAAAUAGAUGAUCCAGCUUGAAAGACUAAAUUGAAGAAGAUCACCCCUAUGAUGAGAUCAUCCAGUGUACUGCCGGUUUCCUUCUAGAAAAAUGUGGAAGAUAUGAAGAUCAGAAGAAGCUUGCUCAAAAAAGAUUACAGAGCACUCAGUUUUGCUUUAGAAACACUAUUUCAUGUUGUAAACUGUUUUAAACAAAAUACUAUCAUCCAAAAGUGCAAUAAGAU
Long non-coding RNA from Cygnus olor (mute swan), 414 nucleotides. RefSeq lists it as uncharacterized. The transcript has 3 exons. Lineage: Eukaryota; Metazoa; Chordata; Aves; Anseriformes; Anatidae. The record is from RefSeq and is a predicted model, not a curated record.